AUCGGAGUAAAAGUAUUUAAUUCAUCGAAAAUAUGUAGCAAAAGUAAAAGUAAAAGUGGAAGUAGGAGAAAAAAAUAAUACUCCAGUAGAGUACAGAUACAGCCUUUUAGUACUUAAGUAGAGUAGUGAAGUAGUUCUACUUUGUUACUAUACAGCUCUGGAUGAUACUAACCUGAUACAA
This is a long non-coding RNA of Sander lucioperca (pikeperch), 181 nucleotides long. RefSeq lists it as uncharacterized. NCBI's taxonomy places the organism in Eukaryota, Metazoa, Chordata, Actinopteri, Perciformes, Percidae. The transcript has 3 exons. The record is from RefSeq and is a predicted model, not a curated record.